RNAcentral lists this long non-coding RNA (3442 nucleotides) under Homo sapiens (human). RNAcentral describes it as "HSALNT0295722". Lineage: Eukaryota; Metazoa; Chordata; Mammalia; Primates; Hominidae. The record is from RNAcentral.
GUGCCUGGCCCAUAUGUAUAAAUUUCUUUGCAUCCCUUUAUGACUGUCUUUCUGCCGUUUUCGGGAGGGUUUCUUUUUUUUUUUUUUAUCAUCUUCUGUUUUUUGUUUUUGUUUUUUUUGAGACAGGGUCUUGCUUUUUUGCCCAGGCUGGAGUGCAGUGGCGUGAUCUCAGCUCACUGCAAACUCUGCCUCCCGAAUUCAAGCGAUUGUCGUGCUUCAGCCUCCCAAGUAGCUGGGAUUACAGGUGCCUGGCACCACACACGGCUAAUUUUUAUAUUUUUAGGUUUCACCAUGUUGGUCAGGCUGCUCUCGAACUCCUGACCUCAAGUGAUCUGCCUGCCUCGGCCUCCCAAAGUGCUGGGAUUAGAGGCAUGAGCCACCACGCCCGGCCUCUCUGCAGUCUUGAACUCCCAGGCACAAGUGAUCCUCCCACCUCAGCCCCCUGAGUACCUGGGACUAUAGGCACGUACCACAACGCCUAAUUUAAAAAAGCUUUUUUGUAGAGACAGGGUCUCACUAUGCUGCUUUAACUCCUGGGUUCAAGUGAUUCUCUUGCCUUGGCCUCCUAAAGUACUGGGAUUACAGGGAUGAACCACCACGCCCAGCCUUCUUCUAGUUUAUUUCUCACUAUUGUUCAUACACAUCACGUCUGCCUGACGGAUCUCUGGGUUGUACUGCCAUGCCACAUCCCCACACCCGUUUUUCCUGUAAUGUCCUCCUCUUUUUUGCCUAUCCAAGCUCUUACUUAUCUUAAAGGCCUAACUCAAACUUGCCUUUUCCAUGAAGCUUUCACAAAUUACUCAGCCCAAACUGAUGUCUCUGAAUUUACAGCUCUUAUGCGGUAAAGUAUCACGACUUAGGUCUUUUUGUUUUAUGAUAUGUCUUAUGUUGUUUUGUCCUUGCUUUAUUAGUUUGACUUGUGCAGCUAACUCCUACUCACAUCUACAGGGAAGUCAUCUCUGAUUCUUGCCUAACACACACGAUCUCUCUCUGGGCUCCCACAGCACUCUGUGCUCACUACUUAUAUAACUCACACCAUGCUGUGAUCAUUUAUUUGUCUGUCUCCCCAGCUAGAAUGUUUAAAGUUGGGGUCUGAGUAAACCAGCUUCUAACAAAUGCCUGACAUUUAAAAAACAAGAGGGAAAAUAUCAAAACCACAGUAAAGGAUUCCUACUUCUGGCAGCAUGGAUAAGAGAAAGUGCUAUCCCAUUAAAAUACAACUAGAUCCUAGAUAAAUUACAGCAAACAUACUUUUUAGCACAUUGCUGAGUUCAUUAGAAAGAGAAAUCACUAAAAAAAAAAAAAAAGUACAGGCCGGGCACGGUGGCUCACGCCUGUAAUUCCAGCACUUUGGGAGGCUGAGGCACGCGGAUCACGAGGUCAGGAGAUCGAGACCAUCCUGGCUAACACGGUGAAACCCCGUCUCUACUAAAAAUAAAAAAAAUUAGCCGGGUGUGGUGGCGGGUGCCUGUAGUCCAAGCUACUCGGGAGGCUGAGGCAGGAGAAUGGCAUGAACCUGGGAAAUGGAGGUUGCAGUGAGCCGGGAUUGCGCCACUGCACUCCAGCCUGGGCAACAGAGCGAGACUCCAUCUCAAAACAAAACAAAAUACAAAUUUAAAAAAGAAAGUUGAAACCUAUAUAAAGGAAGAGCAACAUGGAGUAGUAGAAGCAGGUUUACCCUGAGGACAAAUCCCAGUGUCAGCAUUGUGAUCAUAGUCUAAGCCUUGGGCCUAGGCCAAGGGAAGAGAAGAAAAACCUGCAACUCCUGAAUUAAACCUGGACUCUUGAAGGGGCUAACAUAGUCCCAGGUUUAUGCAAAUGCAAAUCCUCUCUGGAGGGAAGUAUUCCUAAUUUAGGUCCUCGGAAUUCCCACAGAUUAAAUUUAACAAAAAUGAGUUCAAAACCCCAAAUAUAAAAUAGGCAAGGCACGCUGGCUCACACCUGUAAUCCCAACACUUUGGGAGGCCAUGGCGGGUGGAUAGCUUGAGGCCAGAAGUUCGAGACCAGCCUGGCCAAUAUUGUGAAACUCCAUCUCUACUAAAAAAUACAAAAUAUUAGCCGGGUGUGGUGACAUGCACCUGUAAUCCCAGCUACUUGGGAGGCUGAGGCAAGAGAAUCUCUCGAACCCAGGAGGCAGAGGUUGCAGUGGGCUGAGACUGCACCACUGCGCUCCAACAUGGGUGACAGAGCAAGACGCCAUCUCAAAACAAAAAACAAAAAAACCCAAAAUAUAAAGUAUACAAGUAAACAAGCUACCAUGGACAGGACUCAGCAGAAAACAACAAAAUGGAUUUAGACAUCCAAGAUGUUACAGAAUAUAAAAUAACAAUCCCAACACAUUUCAAAGAAUUGGUGUCAUAGACACUACAUUCUCUGAACACAAAUGAUUAAGCUAAAAAUCAGUAUCAAAAAGAUACAAUUUGGGCCAGGUGCGGUGGCUCAUGCCUGUAAUCCCAGCACUUUGGGAGGCUGAGGCGGGCGGAUCACAAGGUCAGGAGAUCGAGACUACCCUGGCUAACACGGUGAAACCCUGUCUCUACUAAAAAACACAAAAAAUUAGCUGGGUGUGGUGGCGGGCACCUGUAGUCCCAGCUGCUCCGGAGGCUGAGGCAGGAGAAUGGCCUGAACCCGGGAGGUAGGCUUGCAGUGAGCCAAGAUCACGCCACUGCACUUCAGCCCAGGCGACAGAGUGAGACUCUGUCUCAAAAAAAAAAUACAAUUUUAAAUCUCCAGAUAUUUGGAAGUUUAUAAAAUGUUUCUAAAUAGUUCAUGAGUCAAAAAGUCAUAAAGGUAAUUUAAAUAUUUUUAGAACUAAGUAAUAAAAAUACAGCACAGAAAAACUUGUGGGAUGUAGAGAAACAGGUUAUUAAAAACUUAAAAUAGUGAAGAAGAUAGCCUGAAAAUUAAUUGGCUAAGUGUCAAAAUGAAUAUGUUGUAAAGGAACAUAAAAUUAAACCUAAAGAAAGCAUAAAAAAGAUAGCUAUAGAUAAGAUCCAUAAUUAAUGAAAUGGAAAACAAAUACAUAAGGGAGAGGAUCAACAAAGCUCAAAGUAGCAUCUGAAGAUAUAUAGGUAAAAUAAAUUGCUGGUGCAACUGAUCAAGACCAAAAAAGGAGGCACAAGUAAACAACAGAAAUGAAAAGGAAGAUAUGCCUAUCCACAGAGCAGAGAUAAAAAAGAAACAAGGCCAGGAGCAGUGGCUCACGCCUGUAAUCCAAGCACUUUGAGAGGCAAAGGCAGGCUGAUCACUUGAGAUCAGGAGUUUGAGACCAGCCUGACCAACAUGGUGAAACCACCUCUCUACUGAAAAUACAAGAAUUAGCUGGCCGUGGUAGCACACACCUGUAAUCCCAGCUACUCCGGAGGCUGAGGCAGGAGAAUCGCUUGAACCCGGAAGGCAGAGGUUACAGUGAGCCAAGACUGCGCCACUGCCCUCCAGCCUG